RNAcentral lists this transfer RNA (87 nucleotides) under Hordeum vulgare. RNAcentral describes it as "tRNA-Ser". It matches the Rfam family "tRNA". From Rfam's summary of the family: Transfer RNA (tRNA) molecules are approximately 80 nucleotides in length. Lineage: Eukaryota; Viridiplantae; Streptophyta; Magnoliopsida; Poales; Poaceae. The record is from RNAcentral. RNAcentral also lists the same sequence under 1 other name.
GGAGAGAUGGUUGAGUGGUUGAUAGCUCCGGUCUUGAAAACCGGUAUAGUUCUAGGAACUAUCGAGGUUCGAAUUCCUCUCUCUCCU